This 1422-nucleotide long non-coding RNA is filed under the name Phasianus colchicus (ring-necked pheasant). RNAcentral's name for it is "lncRNA (ENSPCLG00000017722.1)". The record is from RNAcentral. Lineage: Eukaryota; Metazoa; Chordata; Aves; Galliformes; Phasianidae.
AAAUGGGAGGUGGGAUUUGAGAAAUGGGGUUUAGAGGAUUCGGAGCAUUACAGCAAGCAGGUGAGCGACCAAACGGCCCCAAAAUGGCACCAAAAUGGCCCAAAAUGGCACGGAAAUGGCCCAAAAUGGCACCAAAAUGGCACCAAACGGCCCCAAAAUGGCCCCAGAUGGCUCCAAAAUGGCCCAAAAUGGCCCCAGAAUGGGAGGUGGGAUUUGAGAAAUGGGGUUUAGAGGAUUCUGAGCACUACAACAAGCAGGUGAGCGACCAAACGGCCCCAAAACGGCCCCAAAUGGCACCAAAAUGGCCCCAAAAUGGCCCAAAAUGGCACCAAAAUGGCCCAAAAUGGCACCAAACGGCACCAAAUGGCACCAAACGGCACCAAAAUGGCUCCAAAAUGGCCCCAGAUGGCACCAAAAUGGGAGGUGGGAUUUGAGAAAUGGGGUUUAGAGGAUUCGGAGCAUUACAGCAAGCAGGUGAGCGACCACAACGGCCCCAAAACGACCCCAAAACGGCCCAAAAUGGCACCAAAAUGGCCCAAAAUGGCACCAAAAUGGCCCCAAAAUGGCACCAAAUGGCACCAAAAUGGUCCAAAAUGGCACCAAAAUGGCCCCAGAAUGGGAGCUGGGAUUUGAGAAAUGGGGUUUUGAGGAUUCUGAGCACUACAACAAGCAGGUGAGCGACCACAACGGCCCCAAAAUGACCCCAAAUGGCACCAAAAUGGCCCAAAAUGGCACCAAAAUGGCACCAGACGGCACCAAAAUGGCCCAAAAUGGCACCAAAUGGCCCCGAAAUGGCUCCAAAAUGGCCCAAAAUGGCCCCAGAAUGGGAGGUGGGAUUUCAGAAAUGGGGUUUUGAGGAUUCUGAGCACUACAACAAGCAGGUGAGUGACCACAACGGCCCCAAAACGGCCCCAAAAUGGCCCCAAAUGGCACCAAAAUUGGACCAAAAUUGGACCAAAAUUGCACCAAAUGGCUCCAAAACGGCCCAAAAUGGCACCAAAGUUGGACCAAAAUGGGAAGUGGGUUUUCAGGAAUGGGGUUUAGAGGAUUCUGAGCACUGCAACAAGCAGGUGAGCGACCAGAAUGGCCCCCAAAUGGCCCCAAAACGGCCCCCAAAUGGCACCAAAAUGGCCCAAAACAGCCCCAAGCGGCCCCAAAAUUGGACCAAAAUGGGAGGUGGGAUUUCAGAAAUGGGGUUUUGAGGAAUCUGAGCACUGCAACAAGCAGGUGAGUGACCAGAACUGCACCAAAAUGACCCCAAAUGGCCCCAAAAUGGCCUCAAGGAUCCCAAAAUGGUCCAUAUAACCCCAUUUCCCCUCAUAACCCCCACGUCCGCCCCAUAACCUCCCCAUAACCCCAUUUCCCCCAUAACCCCGUUUCCCCCAUUACCCCCCCAUUACCCUAUAACCCCCUUAUUUCCCC